RNAcentral lists this ribozyme (76 nucleotides) under Crocodylus porosus (Australian saltwater crocodile). Its description in RNAcentral is "Mammalian CPEB3 ribozyme (ENSCPRG00005003562.1)". It matches the Rfam family "Mammalian CPEB3 ribozyme". From Rfam's summary of the family: The mammalian CPEB3 ribozyme is a self cleaving RNA located in the second intron of the CPEB3 gene which belongs to a family of genes regulating messenger RNA polyadenylation. The record is from RNAcentral. Lineage: Eukaryota; Metazoa; Chordata; Crocodylia; Crocodylidae.
AAGGCAUAUGGCUGGCCAUAGCAGAAACACUCAUGGUGCGACCCUGUCAGAUUCCAGAAAAUCUGCAAAUUCUGCU